GACGAACGCUGGCGGCGUGGAUUAGGCAUGCAAGUCGGACGGUAGGGCUUUAUCGUAAGAUAGAGUUUGAGAGUGGCGAACGGGUGAGUAACACGUAGGAAUCUACCCUUAAGACGGGGACAACCCAGGGAAACUUGGGCUAAUACCGGAUGAGAGUGCGAGAGAUUGCAUUUAAAAGGAUGGCGAAAGUUGUCGCUUAGGGAUGAGCCUGCGGUCUAUUAGUUAGUUGGUGAGGUAAGAGCUCACCAAGGCGAUGAUAGAUAGGCGGCCUGAGAGGGUGUACGCCCACACUGGGACUGAGAUACGGCCCAGACUCCUACGGGAGGCAGCAGCUAAGAAUAUUCCGCAAUGGACGAAAGUCUGACGGAGCGACGCCGCGUGGAUGAAGAAGGCCGAAAGGUUGUAAAAUCCUUUUGUUGGGGAAGAAUAACCAUGGGAGGGAAUGCCCGUGGGAUGACAUGAACCGACGAAUAAGUCCCGGCUAACUACGUG
RNAcentral lists this ribosomal RNA (492 nucleotides) under uncultured bacterium. RNAcentral's name for it is "bacterial SSU rRNA". It matches the Rfam family "Bacterial small subunit ribosomal RNA", at positions 28 to 507 of the family's 1533-position model. The record is from RNAcentral.